CUACGUGCCAGCAGCCGCGGUAAUACGGAGGAUGCGAGCGUUAUCCGGAUUUAUUGGGUUUAAAGGGUGCGUAGGCUGUCGGUUAAGUCAGCGGUGAAAUCAGCACGCUUAACGUGUUGUUUGCCGUUGAAACUGUCCGUCUUGAAUGCGCUCGUCGUGGGAGGAAUGUGUGGUGUAGCGGUGAAAUGCAUAGAUAUCACACAGAACACCGAUUGCGAAGGCAUCUCACGAGAGCGUUAUUGACGCCGAUGCACGAAAGCGCGGGUAUCGAACAGGAUUAGAUACCCUGGUAGUCCACGCCCUAAACGAUGUCGAUUAGCUGUUGGGCAACUUGAUUGCUUGGUAGCGAAGCUAACGCGUGAAAUCGACCGCCUGGGGAGUACGGUCGCAAGAUUAAAACUCAAAGGAAUUGACGGGGACCCGCACAAGCGGUGGAUGAUGUGGAUUAAUUCGAUGCAACGCGAAGAACCUUACCUGGUCUUGACAU
RNAcentral lists this ribosomal RNA (487 nucleotides) under uncultured bacterium. Its description in RNAcentral is "bacterial SSU rRNA". It matches the Rfam family "Bacterial small subunit ribosomal RNA", at positions 501 to 987 of the family's 1533-position model. The record is from RNAcentral.